This 502-nucleotide ribosomal RNA is filed under the name uncultured Glomeromycotina. RNAcentral's name for it is "partial small subunit ribosomal RNA". It matches the Rfam family "Eukaryotic small subunit ribosomal RNA", at positions 591 to 1092 of the family's 1831-position model. Lineage: Eukaryota; Fungi; Glomeromycota. The record is from RNAcentral.
CCAAUAGCGUAUAUUAAAGUUGUUGCAGUUAAAAAGCUCGUAGUUGAAUUUCGGGAUUUAUCCGUUGGUCGGGCUUUUGGGUCUGUACUGGCGUGAUGGAUUUCUACCUUCUGAAUAACCGGCAUGUCAUUAAUUUGGUGCGCCGGGGAAGCAGGACUGUUACCUUGAAAAAAUUAGAGUGCUUAAAGCAGGCUAUUGCCUGAAUACAUUAGCAUGGAAUAAUGAAAUAGGACGGCAUGGUUCUAUUUUGUUGGUUUCUAGGAUCACCGUAAUGAUUAAUAGGGAUAGUUGGGGGCAUUAGUAUUCAAUUGUCAGAGGUGAAAUUCUUGGAUUUAUUGAAGACUAACUUCUGCGAAAGCAUUUGCCAAGGAUGUUUUCAUUAAUCAAGAACGAAAGUUAGGGGAUCGAAGACGAUCAGAUACCGCCGUAGUCUUAACCAUAAACUAUGCCGACUAGGGAUCGGACGAUGUUAAUUUUUUAAUGACUCGUUCGGCGCCUUACG